This is a long non-coding RNA of Tripterygium wilfordii, 166 nucleotides long. RefSeq lists it as uncharacterized. The record is from RefSeq and is a predicted model, not a curated record. The transcript has 3 exons. Lineage: Eukaryota; Viridiplantae; Streptophyta; Magnoliopsida; Celastrales; Celastraceae.
AGAAGAGGUUGAUUUCUUGAAUUGAAGACACUAACAAGCUUCAAGGUUAGUGAAUUUACGUGGAGUAUACGUUGCGUUUGUGGUAAGAAUUUGCAAUUCGCUUUGAGGUGAGUCUAGUUUCGGUACCAGGGUCGCGGAUCAGGAGGAGAGUUCGUGACAUGGAUAG